UAGGGAAUCUUCGGCAAUGGGGGCAACCCUGACCGAGCAACGCCGCGUGAGUGAAGAAGGUUUUCGGAUCGUAAAGCUCUGUUGUAAGAGAAGAACGUGUGUGAGAGUGGAAAGUUCACACAGUGACGGUAACUUACCAGAAAGGGACGGCUAACUACGUGCCAGCAGCCGCGGUAAUACGUAGGUCCCGAGCGUUGUCCGGCUUUAUUUGGCGUAAAGCGAGCGCAGGCGGUUUAAUAAGUCUGAAGUUAAAGGCAGUGGCUUAACCAUUGUUCGCUUUGGAAACUGUUAAACUUGAGUGCAGAAGGGGAGAGUGGAAUUCCAUGUGUAGCGGUGAAAUUCGUAGAUAUAUGGAGGAACACCGGUGGCGAAAGCGGCUCUCUGGUCUGUAACUGACGCUGAGGCUCGAAAGCGUGGGGAGCAAACAGG
This 429-nucleotide ribosomal RNA is filed under the name bacterium. RNAcentral's name for it is "partial 16S ribosomal RNA". It matches the Rfam family "Bacterial small subunit ribosomal RNA", at positions 355 to 776 of the family's 1533-position model. The record is from RNAcentral.